Molecule: non-coding RNA, 126 nt
Organism: Brassica napus (rape)
Lineage: Eukaryota; Viridiplantae; Streptophyta; Magnoliopsida; Brassicales; Brassicaceae
Source: Rfam
GGGAUAUAAGAACCCGUCUCUUAACUUUUAACUAAAAAAACUAAGAACCGGUUCUUAAAUAAGAGUUUUAAGAGCUGAUUCUUAACUUUUUUUAGUUAAAAAUUAAGAGACGGAUUCUUAUAUUCU